AUUGAAAUACUGAAAGCUGAAAAUGACCGGUUGAAGGCAGAAACUGGUAACACAGCUAAGCCUACUCGGCCACCGUCAGAAUCCUCAAGCAGCACCUCCUCUUCAUCUUCCAGGCAGUCAUUAGGACUUUCUCUAAACAAUCUGAACAUCACAGAGGCUGUUACCUCAGAUAUUUUGCUAGAUGAUGCUGGUGAUGCAACUGGACAUAAAGAUGGCCGCAGUGUGAAAAUUAUAGUCUCCAUAAGCAAGGGCUAUGGUCGAGCAAAGGAUCAAAAGUCUCAGGCAUAUUUGAUAGGAUCCAUUGGUGUUAGUGGAAAAACCAAGUGGGAUGUCUUAGAUAGUGUAAUAAGACGUCUCUUUAAGGGGUAGAAGAAAAUAGUUUGGACAGUUUUGUUUUUGAUACGCUGAUUCCUAAACCAAUUACCCAAAGGUACUUUAACUUGUUGAUGGAGCAUCACAGAAUUAUACUCUCAGGACCGAGUGGUACUGGAAAGACCUAUUUGGCAAACAAACUUGCUGAAUAUGUAAUAACCAAAUCUGGGAGGAAAAAAACAGAGGAUGCAAUUGCCA
Molecule: small RNA, 570 nt
Filed under: Pongo abelii (Sumatran orangutan)
Lineage: Eukaryota; Metazoa; Chordata; Mammalia; Primates; Hominidae
Description: processed transcript
Source: RNAcentral